ACAUCAAUUGGUCAGUCGGUCUACUGAGCGAUUUCACCAGCUCGGUGUAAGAUUUUCUCUUUGUCGU
This 67-nucleotide microRNA precursor is filed under the name Bombyx mori (domestic silkworm). RNAcentral's name for it is "mir-2774 microRNA precursor family". It matches the Rfam family "mir-2774 microRNA precursor family". Lineage: Eukaryota; Metazoa; Arthropoda; Insecta; Lepidoptera; Bombycidae. The record is from Rfam by way of RNAcentral.